Molecule: long non-coding RNA, 2369 nt
Filed under: Panax ginseng (ginseng)
Lineage: Eukaryota; Viridiplantae; Streptophyta; Magnoliopsida; Apiales; Araliaceae
Description: long non-coding RNA (PGIN_LNC009951)
Source: RNAcentral
UUUAGGCAAAAAUUCAAAUUUCCACUUCACUAUUAUUAAAGUUCGUAAAAGUUUGAAAAGUUCAAGAAGUGGAAUUCUCCACAUCAAACAAAAACUAAAGAUCUAUCCCAUAACAAGGAUGUGAGAAAGCAAUAGAAAAUGACUAUUCACCAUAACAAGGAUCCUCCUGUAAACAAUUGAAAGAUCUAUCCCAAACCAAAUACCAAACCAUAAAAUUUUGCAUCAUUGUUACUUAUGCAUGUACUAAAUACCAAACCAAAACUAAGAAUCUUCUCAGUCGCCAAACUAGUACUUCAGUGACCACCAUGACGGAUGGCUUGAAAAUAGUGACAAAAUAAGACAAGACUAUCAGUGACCACCGAUCUUGCAGCCUCACGCUUCAUCUCAGCAGCUUUGCCACUGCCUCAGAAAUGCAUAUAAACUUGCUGCACACCACAGGAAGAACAAAGAGGCUCAUAAAAAAACUAGAAACACAAAGGAGGAGCAGGGGAUAAAAACAUGAACAAACUAAAUAGUAAGAAUCCUCUACCUGAAUAACCCAGAUGCUGAUCAAUGAUUCAAGGGCAAAAAAUCCAAAUUCAAUAAAGUAAAAAAUCUGCAAGUGAAAACAAUUGUCAAUAUAACAAUUGUCAUUUAGUUCUAGGAAUUCACUUUCUUAAUUAGAAUAAAAGGAACAUAAAGGAACAAACUGAAGCUACAUUGGAAAAAAAAACAUUAGUACAUUUAGUCUUUGCUACUUUUAUCUGAAAAUCCAGGCCACUUCCUUGCUAUUUGACAAGAUUUGGUACAUUGCUUUUCAAAAUUGAAAGUGGACUCACAUUUUGGGGACAGAGGGAGUAUUAGUUUCAAAUGUUGAGGAAGUAUGGUCAUCCAAAAGAGGCAAUGUAAAUAUUACGAUACUACCAAACUGAAGAAAGAGAAAACUAAUCAAAGUGUGGACACAUAACUUUUAACUUUUAACAAUAACUGCAAUAUAGAAAAUAUAGUUUAUAUAAUCUAUUAUUUCAAGAAUUUAUGUACCUGUAAUAUAGAAAAUAUUAUACUUUCACAGUCAGGUAACACCUCUAUUUUUAUCCGCUCCUAUUGUUUGUGUCAGUUUUGCUAACAGGGCGUAAGUUGAAGGCAUUCUUUGACUUGCUUAUUGAACAUCCUGACCGUGCAAGAACCACAAAUUUAGUCUCUCCAUUUUCUCCUUUUUCUGUAGAUCUUAUUUUCACCGAAAAUCCAUUUUGAUUACCAUAAUUAGUGUAAUAUUCCAUGUAUAAAUUAACGGAAUCAAAUUCCAUUCCGACUUCCGGAUCUCUAAUCACUUCAUCAACUUCUUCACUUUCUACUAAAUCCUCCGCCAUAACACAUUCUUUAAUAUCAUUAAUUCUCAUACUUGAUUGAAACUCAUCACUACAUGCCAUUUCUGCAAAUUUAUAAAAAUAUAUUAACUACAUGCCAUAGAUAUAUAAAAAAAGUUCCCUCUUUUUCAUUUUUUUAAUGUAGCCUUAUCAAUCAAAAAUGAUGGUUAAUAUUGCUUAAAAAUGAUGUUUUUACCCCGACUGUUGAUAUUUGUACGCAUUUCUAGUUCUAAAAAAUACUUAUUAUUUUGUAAAGAAAAUUCUCAUAUUUUGCCCAUUCACAGUAGUACGAGUAUAUAUCAACAUGAAGAUUGAAAAGUUAUCUCGAAAUUUCUUUUCUUGUUUUGAUUUAACAAAAACGAAAGACAAAAUAAAAAAAAACAUAAUUAGCAACAAAAAAAUUAAUAAACCUUAGCAUUAGAGAAAUCUUAGCAUUAGAGAAAACAACUAUCAUUGUAGUCCAGGACAUAACAUUUCUUUCACGCAUUUUAUCAAAUAGUUCUUGAGCAUCAUGUAAAAGCUGAUGAGAAAAAAGUAUUUACAAAAUAUGAGCUUGGCAAUUAAAUCCCUUCCUUUUCAAUUCUCAAAGAGUUUGCACAAAAUUUUCACUCAAAAUAAGAGUAUGCCCAAAUUAAUUUUAGGGUUUUGGGAAUUUAGGCGCAUGAGAGAGUAAUGGUAGGAAGAGGAGGAUGCGAAAUAGGAAGAUGAUACCUUGAAAGCCAAUGUUAUUUCACGAGGAAGCUUGUUCAGCAAAGCUUGGAGUUCAGUUUGGAGACUGGCAUGAGAGAGGAAGGAAGAUAAUAUUGAGAUACAUCGCUGUUUGGCAAAGUGAGAAGAGGAGCUUCCUCUGUUCCGGGCUCUUACUUUUUUUUUUUUCUACUUCCUCUCUCAUACUGAUGUAGCACAGCCACAUCAGCCGGUCAUUAGAAAUGUCCCUAAACCCCGGUCCCCCUAGAAUUAUUGAAAUAAAUAUGGGAGUGAAUUAAUUGUAUAAAAUUUUUAUGAGGACACUAUUAUUAUAAU